This 462-nucleotide long non-coding RNA is filed under the name Ananas comosus (pineapple). Its description in RNAcentral is "long non-coding RNA (ACOM_LNC015675)". Lineage: Eukaryota; Viridiplantae; Streptophyta; Magnoliopsida; Poales; Bromeliaceae. The record is from RNAcentral.
AAUAUACCCUGUGAUUUAUUUUUAUCUUUUUGUUAUCCCCUUCAUUAAAUUUUUUUUUAUUAAAUUAGUGAGAAAGUUAAAAUUAAAGUUUACUAAAGUGAAUAUUCGAUAAACUAUAGACGGGGUAUUUGAAGUUUUUUAUAUAUGAUUUAACGAAAAGUUAACGAACGGGCUGACGAAAAGAGAAAAAUGAAACCACGGGGUACUAACUUGAUACACUUUAAACUAUAGAGUAUUAAAGUGAGAAAGUGCGAGGGAUGGUAUUUGAAAUUUACCCUAAAAAAAAAGUAAUGCUAUCUGUAUAUUUUUUGAAUAGGUAUAAUAUUUACACUAUCCAUCGUAAAGCCCAUAAAAAUUUCUUCGAACUCUACGGUUGAGAAGGUGUAAGAUUUACACCUAUAUAUAGAUAUACAAAUAAUAUUUUUCUAUUAAAAAUUAAAAGUUUUAAGCGCAGUUUUUUUU